RNAcentral lists this ribosomal RNA (492 nucleotides) under uncultured bacterium. RNAcentral's name for it is "partial 16S ribosomal RNA". It matches the Rfam family "Bacterial small subunit ribosomal RNA", at positions 29 to 507 of the family's 1533-position model. The record is from RNAcentral.
AGUGAACGCUGGCGGUAGGCCUAACACAUGCAAGUCGAACGGCAGCACAGUAAGAGCUUGCUCUUACGGGUGGCGAGUGGCGGACGGGUGAGGAAUACAUCGGAAUCUACUUUUUCGUGGGGGAUAACGUGGGGAAACUUACGCUAAUACCGCAUACGUCCUACGGGUGAAAGCAGGGGAUCUUCGGACCUUGCGCGAUUGAAUGAGACGAUGUCGGAUUAGCUAGUUGGCGGGGUAAAGGCCCACCAAGGCGACGAUCCGUAGCCGGUCUGAGAGGAUGAUCAGCCACACUGGAACUGAGACACGGUCCAGACUCCUACGGGAGGCAGCAGUGGGGAAUAUUGGACAAUGGGCGCAAGCCUGAUCCAGCCAUACCGCGUGGGUGAAGAAGGCCUUCGGGUUGUAAAGCCCUUUUGUUGGGAAAGAAAAGCAGCAGGUUAAUACCCCGCUGUUCUGACGGUACCCAAAGAAUAAGCACCGGCUAACUUCGUG